UGGAUACGUGCAAGGUCGCUGAGGCAGUGCUA
This 32-nucleotide non-coding RNA is filed under the name Homo sapiens (human). Lineage: Eukaryota; Metazoa; Chordata; Mammalia; Primates; Hominidae. The record is from RNAcentral.